GUCCCCGUCGUCUAGCCCGGCCUAGGACAUCGCCCUUUCACGGCGGUAACACGGGUUCAAAUCCCGUCGGGGACGCCA
RNAcentral lists this transfer RNA (78 nucleotides) under Alphaproteobacteria bacterium. RNAcentral describes it as "tRNA-Glu". It matches the Rfam family "tRNA". From Rfam's summary of the family: Transfer RNA (tRNA) molecules are approximately 80 nucleotides in length. Their secondary structure includes four short double-helical elements and three loops (D, anti-codon, and T loops). Lineage: Bacteria; Pseudomonadati; Pseudomonadota; Alphaproteobacteria. The record is from RNAcentral. RNAcentral also lists the same sequence under 23 other names.